AGCCUGCUAAUUAGUUCUCCUGUCCACUGUACUUGUGCAGGCGGGCGCUCGCCAAAUCUGCCCUUCACGGUUGACCCGGUGGUGCGUGUGGUGGUCUUGUUGUUGUUGUUGUUGGUCGCUUAGCUGCUGUUGCUGCCGCUGCUGCUGCCGUGUAGUGUUGCCCGCAAGGACAGCGCUUGGUGGCGGUGGCUGUGGUGGUGGUGGUUGGCUGAUGACGACGAGGAUGAUGAUCAUCAAGCGUGUCCGCUUGGCUGGCUUGGGUGGAUAGAGCAGUGUUUGCUUCCGAGUACGGCGCGGGUGUCUACUUCUUAGAGGGACAAGCGGGAGAAGCCGCACGAAAUUGAGCAAUGACAGGUCUGUGAUGCCCUUAGAUGUCCGGGGCCGCACGCGCGCUACAAUGACGGUGGCAACGAGUCUGACUUUCUGGCCCGAAAGGGUUGGGUAAACUGGUCAAUCACCGUCAUGACAGGGAUCGGGGCUUGGAAUUGUUCCCCGUGAACGAGGAAUUCCUAGUAAGUGCAAGUCAUAAGCUUGCGCUGAUUACGUCCCUGCCCUUUGUACACACCGCCCGUCGCUACUACCGAUUGAAUGGUUUAGUAAGGUCCUCGGAUUGGCGCCAUUGCAGCGCAGGGCUCAGGCGGUGCUGAGAAGACGACCGAACUUGAUCAUUUAGAGGAAGUAAAAGUCGUAACAAGGUUUCCGUAGGUGAA
Molecule: ribosomal RNA, 710 nt
Filed under: Schyzocotyle acheilognathi
Lineage: Eukaryota; Metazoa; Platyhelminthes; Cestoda; Bothriocephalidea; Bothriocephalidae
Description: bacterial SSU rRNA
Rfam family: Eukaryotic small subunit ribosomal RNA
Source: RNAcentral